AUGGGUGCACGUGCUGGGCCCAGGCAAUUUUACGAGUAUCAGUGUUUUUUAACAGGACAAAUACCACAUCAAGCUCAAGAUCAGCCUUUGUUGGUAGCUGGUUUCAGAUGGUCUAAGAUGAUGUUUAGCUGCAAUACAAAAACAUACCCUAUGCUGGUAAGUCAGCUGCUUAGCAAUUUAUUUCAUUCAUACUUGAUGAAGUUGCCAGUGCUGGUUGAUAAUAGUGAAGAACAGCAAAACAAUACAAUGCAAGGUCUUUGCUUGACAGUAAUGACAUUAUAAAGACAAUGUAAAUGUAUUUUAGAGACAAUGCACAAUAUACAACAUAUACAGUAUACAAGCAAUACACACACUAUACAAAACUAUACAACACUACAAUAACAGUAAGGAACAAACAGAUGACGAAAGAAAUAUAAUUCUUUGGUAGUAAAAACAUGUAUGUAUAUAUUAUAAACUUACCUGGCGGCAUACAGGCUACAGUAUUGUUGAGCAUACAUUUUUUUAAACAGAAGAGAGCAUGAAAGACCACACAUUAAAGAGUAGUUCUCUCGCAGAAUGGCAUCUCACUGGUGGAGACCCUUAUUCACCUUUCACCACAACAGUGGAGCCAACACAAUUGAACUAAACACACAUAUUAUCCCAGCCCCCCAAAAAAAACUAUGUAUAAUAUUUAUUUUUUUAGAAUGGGACAAGCUAUCUGUAAAACUUUUAGUGCUGAUAGUCUUUGUUAAAUUACAUUACAUUUUACAUUAUAUUACAGUUAGAUAAAGGCUUCCCUCCUAACAAGAAUCAAAAGUUAAGCGAUACAUUACAGUGCGCUUCAGUUCUAAACUAAGGUUUAAAAGCCGAUGAAGCAAUUCACAAAAUAUUCACAAAAUAUGUGUUAUUAUCAAAAGUUAGCGAAGGAUGAGCGCAAUAAUUAUUAAGCUGUGGUGACCCAAGGCCUUUCAGCACAACUCAGAUGACCUCAGGAUGGAAGAAAACCCUAAAAUGAAAAACACUCUUUGCACUAUUUGUCAGAGUUGUUUGUACCUUUGUUUUUGUCACUGCUAGCCAUUAUUUUGUCAGUGCUAAUAAUGUAUCACUACUUUGUUCUUCAGAAAUGUUUCAUCUCAGUAUGAACUCAGAACAUGAGCUAAGGCAAAAGACAGAUAAUUCAAGUUGAUUAAUCAUGUGCUCUUCAUUUCAGAGCCAGUAAGUCCCUAUGGGGAGGGGGACAGCCAAGUCAAAUGCAGUUCCUAGAACCGAACAUUUUCCAGCCUCUCAGAUAUGGCAGACACUG
Molecule: long non-coding RNA, 1282 nt
Filed under: Astyanax mexicanus (Mexican tetra)
Lineage: Eukaryota; Metazoa; Chordata; Actinopteri; Characiformes; Acestrorhamphidae
Description: lncRNA (ENSAMXG00005024121.1)
Source: RNAcentral